AGGCUACCAGGUUGAUGUUUUAGGUUCUGCAAAGGUCAAUGCCAGUGGCCUAAAUGCUGAAACAUAUUUCUAUGUUUUCAUUGCUAGAAGCAUUCUUUCCAUCAAAAUAUGAACAUUGACAGAGCUCUGGAUUCUUCAAAGUAUGAAAACUCCUGCCAACAUGGAAGUCUCUCAUGAAGUCUGCUUUCUUUGGCAAGCAAACCAGUUCCCAGUGUGCAACGUGGAGAUGUCAGCAGCAGGGUUUGACAAAAUCAACUCAUAAAGAGAGACCUUGACUUUUGGCCUAGACUUGAAAGACAAGAGUAAAGCAUUGCAGCAAACAUACCCAGGUCAGGCCAUCAUACUUCUGCAAGACAACAAAGAAAUUAUGGUAGCAGUACGUCCUUUGUAUCCAAGAAUUAAUGGGUCAAGUUUAAUGGCUAUAUUAUACUUAUUGAUUCAGAGGAAGCUUUCUUAAGCUUAUAUAAUUGAGAAGGGCUACCAAGAAGACAUUUAUGAAGCAGCAAUGAAGAGCACGUUCUUAUCCACUAGGAAUAAGAUAGAUUUUAUUGAUGGGCCUGAUGGUUUAUAUAUUUGUAUAAAAUUGCUACAGAGACAUGAUCAUGAUGCCUGAGCCACAUAUAAAGAGGGGGAGCACAUGGCCAUGCGGUAUUAAAGUGACACAGGUACAAACACUUUGUGAAAAGAAUGGUCACCGCGCGCGAAGAUUCCAGAAAGGAUAAUAUAGCAGUAAGCUCGCGAGCGUUCAUAGCCGAAGCCCAUUCUCAUCACCGCGAAGGGUCGCGAGCAGGUUGAAGACUUCACGAGGCAGAGAGUAAAUGCAACAAAUAAAAAUACUUCGUGAAGAACUUUCAUCAAGCUCACUCAGAUUUCGUCCUCAUCAAGAUCUUCCUCGAGGGGAUUUGCUCCUUAUUAGGAUCCUCCUUAUGGAGAUUUUCGCAAGCUGAUAGUCAAUAAAUCUUCGCGAGGUCUUCCAAAUCUUUGCGAGGUCUUGCAUUUGUUCGCGAGCUCAAGGCAAAUAUCAGAGAAACCUUCGCGAGGAAUGUGUGUUCGCGAAGCACAUUUAAAUCAAGCUUACUGAGAUUUCUCCUCAAGGACAUUUGCUCCUCAUUUAGAUCUUCCUUGAGAAGAUUUCUAUCUUCUUCGAGGGGAUUUGUCCUCGAGGGGAUUUGCUCCUUACUGAGAUUUCUCUUCAGAGAAGUUUUGGGGAAGAUAUCAUUUUUAAGGCCAACACCUGUGGCUUUUAAGUUUUUACCAAAGUUUUACUUUUCCAAUAUUCUUGCUCAAAACUUAUGUAGUGUUUUAAGCUCUUUAAGGCCAAUUCCAGUGGCCUAAAAAUAAAAGUUUUUCAUCAAGUUGGUGAUA
This is a long non-coding RNA of Rosa chinensis, 1365 nucleotides long. RefSeq lists it as uncharacterized. The record is from RefSeq and is a predicted model, not a curated record. The transcript is spliced from 2 exons. Lineage: Eukaryota; Viridiplantae; Streptophyta; Magnoliopsida; Rosales; Rosaceae.